GCCAGGCAUGGUGGCUCAUGCCUGUAAUCCCAGAACUUUGGGAGGCUGAGGCGGGAGGAUCACCUGAGGUCAGGAGUUUGAGACUAGCCUGGCCAACAUGGUGAAACCCCGUUUCUA
Molecule: unclassified non-coding RNA, 117 nt
Organism: Macaca fascicularis (crab-eating macaque)
Lineage: Eukaryota; Metazoa; Chordata; Mammalia; Primates; Cercopithecidae
Rfam family: Metazoan signal recognition particle RNA
About the family: The signal recognition particle (SRP) is a universally conserved ribonucleoprotein. It is involved in the co-translational targeting of proteins to membranes. The eukaryotic SRP consists of a 300-nucleotide 7S RNA and six proteins: SRPs 72, 68, 54, 19, 14, and 9.
Source: Ensembl